UACGUAGGUGGCAAGCGUUAUCCGGAAUUAUUGGGCGUAAAGAGCGCGCAGGUGGUUGAUUAAGUCUGAUGUGAAAGCCCACGGCUUAACCGUGGAGGGUCAUUGGAAACUGGUCGACUUGAGUGCAGAAGAGGGAAGUGGAAUUCCAUGUGUAGAGGUGAAAUGCGUAGAGAUAUGGAGGAACACCAGUGGCGAAGGCGGCUUCCUGGUCUGUAACUGACACUGAGGCGCGAAAGCGUGGGGAGCAGACAGGAUUAGAUA
This 261-nucleotide ribosomal RNA is filed under the name uncultured prokaryote. RNAcentral's name for it is "partial 16S ribosomal RNA". It matches the Rfam family "Bacterial small subunit ribosomal RNA", at positions 524 to 784 of the family's 1533-position model. The record is from RNAcentral.